AGUGAACGCUGGCGGUAGGCCUAACACAUGCAAGUCGAACGGCAGCACAGGAAGAGCUUGCUCUUACUGGUGGCGAGUGGCGGACGGGUGAGGAGUACAUCGGAAUCUACUUUUUCGUGGGGGAUAACGUAGGGAAACUUACGCUAAUACCGCAUACGACCUACGGGUGAAAGCAGGGGAUCUUCGGACCUUUCGCGAUUGAAUGAGCCGAUGUCGGAUUAGCUAGUUGGCGGGGUAAAGGCCCACCAAGGCGACGAUCCGUAGCUGGUCUGAGAGGAUGAUCAGCCACACUGGAACUGAGACACGGUCCAGACUCCUACGGGAGGCAGCAGUGGGGAAUAUUGGACAAUGGGCGAAAGCCUGAUCCAGCAAUACCGCGUGGGUGAAGAAGGCCUUCGGGUUGUAAAGCCCUUUUGUUGGGAAAGAAAAGCAGCAGGUUAAUACCCCGCUGUUCUGACGGUACCCAAAGAAUAAGCACCGGCUAACUUCGUG
Molecule: ribosomal RNA, 492 nt
Filed under: uncultured bacterium
Lineage: Bacteria
Description: partial 16S ribosomal RNA
Rfam family: Bacterial small subunit ribosomal RNA
Source: RNAcentral